This 349-nucleotide ribosomal RNA is filed under the name uncultured bacterium. RNAcentral's name for it is "bacterial SSU rRNA". It matches the Rfam family "Bacterial small subunit ribosomal RNA", at positions 28 to 376 of the family's 1533-position model. The record is from RNAcentral.
GACGAACGCUGGCGGCGUGCUUAACACAUGCAAGUCGAGCGGAAAGGCCCUUUCGGGGGUACUCGAGCGGCGAACGGGUGAGUAACACGUGAGUAAUCUGCCCUUGGCUUUGGGAUAACUACCGGAAACGGUGGCUAAUACCGGAUACGACCACUCCUUGCAUGAGGUGGUGGUGGAAAGUUUUUUUCGGCCAGGGAUGUGCUCGCGGCCUAUCAGCUUGUUGGUGGGGUAAAUGGCCUACCAAGGCUUCGACGGGUAGCCGGCCUGAGAGGGUGACCGGCCACACUGGGACUGAGACACGGCCCAGACUCCUACGGGAGGCAGCAGUGGGGAAUAUUGGACAAUGGGC